RNAcentral lists this transfer-messenger RNA (251 nucleotides) under Oceanospirillaceae bacterium. RNAcentral describes it as "partial transfer-messenger RNA". It matches the Rfam family "transfer-messenger RNA", at positions 1 to 267 of the family's 374-position model. Rfam says of the family: Bacterial tmRNA, also known as 10Sa RNA or SsrA, is named for its dual tRNA and mRNA-like properties. Its role is to liberate the mRNA from a stalled ribosome. To accomplish this part of the tmRNA is used as a reading frame that ends in a translation stop signal. Lineage: Bacteria; Pseudomonadati; Pseudomonadota; Gammaproteobacteria; Oceanospirillales; Oceanospirillaceae. The record is from RNAcentral.
GGGGAUGACUGGAUUCGACGUUGGUUACAAACCCUGAGGUGCAUGUCGAGAAUGUAAGGUUUCUCGUAAAUCCCACCUUGCAAAAGUUAUAGUCGCAAACGACGAAAACUACGCACUAGCGGCUUAAAUCCCGCUUACACUGAUCACCGGAUGCCUGUAAACGGUUGUGAAGUGGCUCGCAGAACAGGAUCGUGUGGACUCCUCGCUCGUGGAGAAAACCCUAAAACUAAUCGAGAUCGCCUUAUGCUCCC